Molecule: long non-coding RNA, 216 nt
Organism: Macrosteles quadrilineatus (aster leafhopper)
Lineage: Eukaryota; Metazoa; Arthropoda; Insecta; Hemiptera; Cicadellidae
Exons: 2
Source: RefSeq, a predicted model, not a curated record
CAACCGACAUCAUGCGUAUCUACUUAGGUCUAUUCCUAUUAGCACUUCUACUAUGCUCGCUAGUCGGCGUGGAGUGCAAAGGUGGUAGGGGUAGAUCCAGAUCAAGGGUACGUCCCGUUCCAGGAGGAGGAUCUGACUGUCCCGACCCUGACAACCCUGACUGUCCUCCUGGAGAAAAAUAAAGCACGACUUGUAAAAUAGAACGAUUUGACAUCA